CACCCGGUAGCACAUGGCGUGCAUCUGCUAUACCUAACCAAAUGUGUUUCAUGGUGCAGAAGGCCCCCGUUCGACUCGGGGCCGGGUGA
This is a non-coding RNA of Mycena vulgaris, 89 nucleotides long. The record is from the annotation of a GenBank genome assembly. NCBI's taxonomy places the organism in Eukaryota, Fungi, Basidiomycota, Agaricomycetes, Agaricales, Mycenaceae.